Molecule: long non-coding RNA, 1006 nt
Organism: Calidris pugnax (ruff)
Lineage: Eukaryota; Metazoa; Chordata; Aves; Charadriiformes; Scolopacidae
Exons: 2
Source: RefSeq, a predicted model, not a curated record
AAGGCGGCGCUGAGGGAGCGGCGGAGCUGAGGGGUUUCCUUGUUCGCUGAGAGGUACCGGCGAGCGCCGUUCGCCGCUGGGAUGGCCGCUCUCGGCGCCUGGGAGUAUCACCGACCGUCUCUGGGGCCGGUUCCCCUUCCCGCCUCGCCGGUGCUCCCACAGCGGCUUCCCUGUCACGGUCGGCGGGAGGAGGGUCUGGGGGUGCCGGUGGAGCUCGGCCUUUUGUCCCAGGAGGGCGGGCAGGACUUGUCACUGCUGUUUAGGGUUCUCCAGGAUAAUGACAACCUUUUCCCGAACUCCCUUUUCCUUCAGGAGUUCACUACCCUUCACCCAUCCGUUCUGCACAAGGGCUACGAUAAAGGUGGAGCCUUUCUUCCCGGGGCUGGGGGACUGCAGCCUGAGGUGAACGUGAAAGAAAGUCUCAGAAGAAUAAACCUAAAUCAGCUCCUCAUUCUGAAGAACUCCCUGUUCAUAACGAGAUUCUGAAAGAAGUUAAAUAUCAAGAGAAUAUUCCAUUCACCGACCUGGCAGUAAAAGGCCUCCUCAAGAACUGUUUUUCCUCUCCUGAUUUGAUUGUCCCGUUCAGCCUAGAGAAGAUUUUUUUUUCCUAAGGAGCUCUAAACCGUUGGCAACUGAUCUGAAGCCGCAGUUGAUCGGUAGAAAGUUUCUUGCCGAGUUCAGUGAGGGAAGUCUUGAAGCUCUGCCAGGCGGCGCGCGCUGCGGUGCAGCCGUGCUCUCUCCUGGGUGACAUUUCGAGGAUGUUAAAACAAAAUAAGGAAACAUCUGGUUUAACCGAGGGAGGCGUCGUUUGCUAAUGACAGCGGCCUGGUGUCACACCGUCCUGCCCCAGCCAGGGCUUGAAGGCUUUGGCUUGGGAAACCUGAUCUAGAUCACGUAGGGCAACACCGUGUCCUCCCUCCAAAAUUAAAACUAAAACAGGAAAAGGUGCGUCUUUUGGGUUCUUUUCCCCGUGAACCUCAAGAAAUAGCGUUUUCUGCCAUAUAAA